UAGGGAAUAUUGCUCAAUGGGCGGAAGCCUGAAGCAGCAACGCCGCGUGGAGGAUGACACUUUUCGGAGCGUAAACUCCUUUUCUUAGGGAAGAACAAUGACGGUACCUAAGGAAUAAGCACCGGCUAACUCCGUGCCAGCAGCCGCGGUAAUACGGAGGAUGCAAGCGUUAUCCGGAAUUAUUGGGUUUAAAGGGUGCGUAGGCUGUUUUGCAAGUCAGGGGUGAAAGCCCGGAGCUCAACUCCGGAACUGCCUUUGAUACUGCGAGGCUGGAAUACGGAUGCCGUGGGAGGAAUGAGUAGUGUAGCGGUGAAAUGCAUAGAUAUUACUCAGAACACCGAUUGCGAAGGCAUCUCACGAAUCCGUCAUUGACGCUGAGGCACGAAAGCGUGGGGAGCAAACAGGAUUAGAUACCCUGGUAGU
RNAcentral lists this ribosomal RNA (423 nucleotides) under uncultured bacterium. RNAcentral's name for it is "bacterial SSU rRNA". It matches the Rfam family "Bacterial small subunit ribosomal RNA", at positions 355 to 794 of the family's 1533-position model. The record is from RNAcentral.